RNAcentral lists this transfer RNA (96 nucleotides) under Nitrosopumilales archaeon. RNAcentral's name for it is "tRNA-Ser". It matches the Rfam family "tRNA". Rfam says of the family: Transfer RNA (tRNA) molecules are approximately 80 nucleotides in length. Lineage: Archaea; Thermoproteati; Nitrososphaerota; Nitrososphaeria; Nitrosopumilales. The record is from RNAcentral. RNAcentral also lists the same sequence under 1 other name.
GUCAGGUUAGCCAAGUGGUAAGGCGGCCGCCUCGAAAUCUUAUACAGGAUAGCGGCUGUGCAUUCGCACGCAAGGGUUCGAAUCCCUUACCUGGCG